This 503-nucleotide ribosomal RNA is filed under the name uncultured bacterium. RNAcentral describes it as "bacterial SSU rRNA". It matches the Rfam family "Bacterial small subunit ribosomal RNA", at positions 28 to 531 of the family's 1533-position model. The record is from RNAcentral.
GAUGAACGCUGGCGGCGUGCCUCAAACAUGCAAGUCGAGCGAGGCUAUGAAUUACCGCAAGGUAAGGCAUAGCCUAGCGGCGAACGGGUGAGUAACACGUGGGUAACCUACCUGGAAGACAGGGAUAACGAUUCGAAAGGGUCGCUAAUACCUGAUAAUAUCCAUCUGCCGGAUGGCGGAGGGAAGAAAGGGGAAACCCGCUUUCAGAUGGGCCCGCGUCCCAUCAGCUAGUUGGUAAGGUAAAGGCUUACCAAGGCGACGACGGGUAGCCGGUCUGAGAGGAUGUACGGCCACACUGGGACUGAGAUACGGCCCAGACUCCUACGGGAGGCAGCAGUUGGGAAUCUUAGGCAAUGGACGAAAGUCUGACCUAGCGACGCCGCGUGAGGGAAGAAGGGCCUUCGGGUUGUAAACCGUCUGUCAUGGGGGAAGAAGGAAGUGACGGUACCCAAGAGGAAGCCCCUGCUAACUACGUGCCAGCAGCCGGGUAACUGCUACGUAGA